AACAGGAUUAGAUACCCUGGUAGUCCACGCCCUAAACGAUGUCGACUUGGAGGUUGUGCCCUUGAGGCGUGGCUUCCGGAGCUAACGCGUUAAGUCGACCGCCUGGGGAGUACGGCCGCAAGGUUAAAACUCAAAUGAAUUGACGGGGGCCCGCACAAGCGGUGGAGCAUGUGGUUUAACUCGAUGCAACGCGAAGAACCUUACCUGGCCUUGACAUCCACGGAAUUUGGCAGAGAUGCCUUAGUGCCUUCGGGAACCGUGAGACAGGUGCUGCAUGGCUGUCGUCAGCUCGUGUUGUGAAAUGUUGGGUUAAGUCCCGCAACGAGCGCAACCCUUAUCCUUUGUUGCCAGCACGUAAUGGUGGGAACUCAAAGGAGACUGCCGGUGAUAAACCGGAGGAAGGUGGGGAUGACGUCAAGUCAUCAUGGCCCUUACGGCCAGGGCUACACACGUGCUACAAUGGCGCAUACAAAGAGAAGCGACCUCGCGAGAGCAAGCGGACCUCAUAAAGUGCGUCGUAGUCCGGAUCGGAGUCUGCAACUCGACUCCGUGAAGUCGGAAACGCUAGUAAUCGUAGAUCAGAAUGCUACGGUGAAUACGUUCCCGGGCCUUGUACACACCGCCCGUCACACCAUGGGAGUGGGUUGCAAAAGAAGUAGGUAGCUUAACCUUCGGGAGGGCGCUUACCACUUUGUGAUUCAUGACUGGGGUGAAGUCGUAACAAGGUAACC
This 731-nucleotide ribosomal RNA is filed under the name uncultured bacterium. Its description in RNAcentral is "bacterial SSU rRNA". It matches the Rfam family "Bacterial small subunit ribosomal RNA", at positions 771 to 1501 of the family's 1533-position model. The record is from RNAcentral.